This 429-nucleotide ribosomal RNA is filed under the name Bacteroidota bacterium. Its description in RNAcentral is "Bacteroidetes bacterium partial 16S ribosomal RNA". It matches the Rfam family "Bacterial small subunit ribosomal RNA", at positions 355 to 776 of the family's 1533-position model. Lineage: Bacteria; Pseudomonadati; Bacteroidota. The record is from RNAcentral.
UAGGGAAUCUUCCGCAAUGAACGCAAGUCUGACGGAGCAACGCCGCGUGAGUGAAGAAGGAUUUCGGUUCGUAAAACUCUGUUGUUAGAGAAGAACAGCGCAUAGAGUAACUGUUAUGCGUGUGACGGUAUCUAACCAGAAAGCCACGGCUAACUACGUGCCAGCAGCCGCGGUAAUACGUAGGUGGCAAGCGUUGUCCGGAUUUAUUGGGAGUAAAGCGAGCGCAGGCGGUCAAUUAAGUCUGAUGUGAAAGCCCCCGGCUCAACCGGGGAGGGUCAUUGGAAACUGGUUGACUUGAGUGCAGAAGAGGAGAGUGGAAUUCCAUGUGUAGCGGUGAAAUGCGUAGAUAUAUGGAGGAACACCAGUGGCGAAGGCGACUCUCGGGUCUGUAACUGACGCUGAGGCUCGAAAGCGUGGGUAGCAAACAGG